GAACGCUGACAGAAUGCUUAACACAUGCAAGUAACUUGAAUUUGGGUUUUUUAACUUAGAUUUGGGUGGCGGACGGGUGAGUAACGCGUAAAGAACUUGCCUCACAGCUAGGGACAACAUUUGGAAACGAAUGCUAAUACCUGAUAUUAUGAUUUUAAGGCAUCUUAGAAUUAUGAAAGCUAUACGCGCUGUGAGAGAGCUUUGCGUCCCAUUAGCUAGUUGGAGAGGUAACGGCUCACCAAGGCGAUGAUGGGUAGCCGGCCUGAGAGGGUGAACGGCCACAAGGGGACUGAGACACGGCCCUUACUCCUACGGGAGGCAGCAGUGGGGAAUAUUGGACAAUGGACCAAGAGUCUGAUCCAGCAAUUCUGUGUGCACGAUGACGUUUUUCGGAAUGUAAAGUGCUUUCAGUUGGGAAGAAAAAAAUGACGGUACCAACAGAAGAAGUGACGGCUAAAUACGUGCCAGCAGCCGCGGUAAUACGUAUGUCACGAGCGUUAUCCGGAUUUAUUGGGCGUAAAGCGCGUCUAGGCGGUUAUGUAAGUCUGAUGUGAAAAUGCAGGGCUCAACCCUGUAUUGCGUUGGAAACUGUGUAACUAGAGUACUGGAGAGGUAAGCGGAACUACAAGUGUAGAGGUGAAAUUCGUAGAUAUUUGUAGGAAUGCCGAUGGGGAAGCCAGCUUACUGGACAGAUACUGACGCUGAAGCGCGAAAGCGUGGGUAGCAAACAGGAUUAGAUACCCUGGUAGUCCACGCCGUAAACGAUGAUUACUAGGUGUUGGGGGUCGAACCUCAGCGCCCAAGCAAACGCGAUAAGUAAUCCG
RNAcentral lists this ribosomal RNA (824 nucleotides) under uncultured Fusobacterium sp. RNAcentral describes it as "bacterial SSU rRNA". It matches the Rfam family "Bacterial small subunit ribosomal RNA", at positions 31 to 871 of the family's 1533-position model. Lineage: Bacteria; Fusobacteriati; Fusobacteriota; Fusobacteriia; Fusobacteriales; Fusobacteriaceae. The record is from RNAcentral.